Molecule: RNA transcript, 2654 nt
Organism: Passer domesticus (house sparrow)
Lineage: Eukaryota; Metazoa; Chordata; Aves; Passeriformes; Passeridae
Gene name: protein ecdysoneless homolog
Exons: 4
Source: RefSeq, a predicted model, not a curated record
GGCCGGCCUUCCCCUCCUCAUCCCGAGCCCCGUGCGGGGGUCGCAGCUCGGCUUUCCCCCCACCGCCGCCCCUCGCUGCCGCCUGCGCUUUCCCACUCUCCGAUGCUCGGCUUCUCUCGCCGCGGCACAGCGGCUCAGGUGCCCUUGGGCGACCUCACUUCCCCACUGUCACUCCCCCGCUGAGGCGGGGCGGACUUCCCCGGCACUUGCCGAAAGGUCUUUGUCUAUGAUUACUGAAGCCUCACGCACCGUGUUUUAGAAUGCCUUUAAAACGUGUUGAAGUGCUUUUUUAAAGGUUCGGACUAAAUUCCAACGCAGCCAGCACAGCCGCUUUGGUCCCUGCCCGUGAGCACGGAGCGGCUCCCGGCAGAGAGCGCAGCGCCGCCGCCGCCAUCGCGCCGCUCCUCCCCGGGGCGGAGCGCGGCCCCGGCGCGAUGGAGGCGCUGCGGCGGCCGGCGCUGCCCGAGGACGCGGUGCGCUACCGCCUGUUCGCGGCGGCGGCGGCGGGCCCGGGCGGCGAGGCGCUGCUGCGGCGCUGCGCUCAGCUGUUCCCGGUGCCUUCGCCCCGCUCCUGCCGCCUGCGUGUGGCAGCGGCAGCCGCUCCGCCUGCGCUCCGUGCCGCGCCGCGGGGAGCCGGGAGCGGGCCGGGAGGCACGGCGGGAGGAGCGCCCGGAGCGGGGGGACUGCGAGGGGAACCCGGCAGCCGGGAACCGGGAGCGUGUGAGGGAGAACCGGGAGCCUGUGAGGGGAACCGGGAGCGUGUGAGGGGGAUCCGGGACCGACGGCGUGUGAAGGCGAGACCCCGGCGCACUUGGGCGGCACCAGCGCGUUCGGGGAUAACGUGGAGGAUGAGUGGUUCAUCGUGUACCUGCUCCGGGAGAUCACCAGGGAGUUCCCGGGGCUGGCAGCCAGGAUUGAUGACCACGAUGGAGAGUUUCUCUUGAUAGAAGCAGCUGAUUUUCUCCCAAAGUGGCUGAAUCCUGAGAACAGUGAAAACAGGGCUGGAGCCUGCUUUGCUCUAUUUCCAGUCACAUCUCACAGCAGCCACUGGGCAGAGUAUAUUCUCAUUGGAGCGCUGGCAUUGCACCAGCGUCAAACCAUGACACUGAACUGAAAAUUCUUUAGAAAACAGGAGACCUUACAUGGAUCAGGAUUCUUUAUUAGAAAUUGCAGUUGUUUUCCACUCAAAUUUCCAUGCAUAACACCUUUCUCCCUUUCAGUCUGAGAUGAAAUCUUGAUAAAAACCUUUGUUUGACAGCCACUGUCCCCGCUGCAGAGAGGCCUGGAGCUUUCCUCACCUGUCCCAGGGACGGUGAGCUGCCCUCCACAGCAGCAGAGGCCACACGUUCCCCCUCAGGGGAGGAGUGGAAGGUGCCCUUGGCAGAGCACAGGCUGCUCGGGCACUGGGCUCAGGCUGCUGUCAGCUCCUGCCCCACAGCCCAUGGUGAUGGGAGGGGUGAAAAAUGCCACGUGUGCCGUGCACAGCAGUGACCCUCCAGCAAUCUUUGCAGUCCUCUCCUUGGAGCUGCUCGGGCUCCUGGGGAGCACAGGGCAGCAAAACGAGCUCAGCGCGGCCCUGCAGGGCGAGAGGCAAGAAGCAAGAGCCCAGCGUGGUCUCUUUGAGCUUUCCUUUAGGACAGGCCGGUGUGUCCCCAGCCCAGGGCACAGAGGGGCUCUCUAAAGGGUGCCACGAUGUCCCCGUGCCCACCGUGUCGGGAUCCCAGGGGGAGAGAGCCCCGGGGGCGUGGGGGCCAGGAGAGCUGUGCCCGAGAGCUGGGCCCGAGCGCGCCGCCGUGCCCGGCUGUGCGCGGGUGUUUGCUGCUGUGCCAGGGCUGAGAGCACACGUGCUGCUGUGCACGGGGCACGGGGGGUGCUGGGCACAGCUCUGGGCACAGCGACACGGGCACAUGCAGCCACACGCUCCAGCCACGGAGAGCAGGAGAUGAAUGGAAGGCAGGAGGGGUGUGUUGUAUGCAGUUCCCAUGGGCUUUACUUCAGCCACACACUAAAGGGCUGCAGGGACAAUUUUAAUUGAAUUCAUUAUCAAACAAAUCAGAGCAAGGAAACGAGAAGUUUGCCAAAAUCUAAAAAAGCACCUUCUCCACACUCUCCUCCCUUCCUCGGCUUUAUCACCAAUUCCCUCCCUCCAGAAGGAGCUGAGAGACAAAACUUUGGGAGGGGCUGAGGGUAUAAAAGGCAGAGCAUCCAUUUUGUAAACAAGCACGUGGCUGAGAGUCACAGAGACCCCCAGUGCUGUCAUUUUUCCUUAUUCUGUCCAUUGUUGUAUUUUUUGGUUAAGGAUUAAAAAGCCUGUAAAAUUUUUAAAGUGAGGGUCCUUUCUAACAUCUUCCAUGGACAGUCCAAAAGUCUCCCCUUCAGGCCACUUUGUGAUGAUUUCCAAGAGCCCAGGGCGAUUUGGAUUUCCCAAUUGAGCUUAUUGUAUAAUGUUAUUAAAAACAAAUAUAGGUAUUGGCUUUCACAUUGAUGUACUAACUUUUGUUUUGCAGGUCAUUAUUGACUACAAAAAUCCUGAUCUAGUGCAAUUUGUACUUACUGCUUUAGAUGUAGUAUAAUCUGUCACUUUAAUCAAUCUAAUGUAUGCACCCUAUAGCUUUUAUAAACAUGGAUAUAAUAGAUACUAUCUCAGACCGAAG